AUACCACAGGAGGCAUGAUCAAAAACAAAGACGCAAGGACCUAACAGAAGCUGAAGAGAUCAAGAAAAGGUGGCGAGAAUAUACAGAAGAUCUGUACAGGAAGAAUAAUAAUAUAGAGGAUAGCUUUGAAUUAGAACCAGACAUCCUGAGGAGUGAAGUUGAAUGGGCCUUAAGAAGCACUGCUAAUAACAAGGCAGCAGGAGACGACGAGAUCCCAGCUGAAGAGAUCAAGAUAAGGUGGCGAGAAUAUACAGAAGGAUAAUAAUAUAGAGGAUAGCUUUGACAGUGGAGUGAGGUUGAAUGGGCCUUAAGAAGCAUUGCUAAUAACUAGGCAGCAGGAGACGAUGAGAUCCCAGCCGAAGAGAUCAAGAUAAGGUGGCGAGAAUAUACAGAAGGAUAAUAAUAUAGAGGAUAGCUUUGACAGUGUGGUGAGUGAAUUAGAACCAGACAUCCUGAGGAGUGAGGUUGAAUGGGCCUUAAUGAGCACUGCUAACAACAAGGCAGCAGGAGACGACGGGAUCCGAGCUGAAGAGAUCAAGAUAUGGUGGUGAGAAUAUACAGAAGGAUAAUAAUAUAGAGGAUAGCUUUGACAGUGGAGUGAGGUUGAAUGGGCCUUAAGAAGCAUUGCUAAUAACUAGGCAGCAGGAGACGAUGAGAUCCCAGCUGAAGAGAUCAAGAUAAGGUGGCGAGAAUAUACAGAAGGAUAAUAAUAUAGAGGAUAGCUUUGACAGUGGAGUGAGGUUGAAUGGGCCUUAAGAAGCAUUGCUAAUAACAAGGCAGCAGGAGACGAUGAGAUCCCAGCUGAAGAGAUCAAGAUAAGGUGGCGAGAAUAUACAGAAGGAUAAUAAUAUAGAGGAUAGCUUUGACAGUGGAGUGAGGUUGAAUGGGCCUUAAGAAGCAUUGCUAAUAACAAGGCAGCAGGAGACGAUGAGAUCCCAGCCGAAGAGAUCAAGAUAAGGUGGCGAGAAUAUACAGAAGGAUAAUAAUAUAGAGGAUAGCUUUGACAGUGUGGUGAGUGAAUUAGAACCAGACAUCCUGAGGAGUGAGGUUGAAUGGGCCUUAAUGAGCACUGCUAACAACAAGGCAGCAGGAGACGAUGAGAUCCCAGCCGAAGAGACCAAGAUAAGGUGGUGAGAAUAUACAGAAGGAUAAUAAUAUAGAGGAUAGCUUUGACAGUGUGGUGAGUGAAUUAGAACCAGACAUCCUGAGGAGUGAGGUUGAAUGGGCCUUAAGAAGCACUGCUAAUAACAAGGCAGCAGAAGAUGACAAGAUCCCAGCUGAAGAGAUCAAGAAAAGGUGUUGCAUUGAAUUAGGCUAAGAAAGGACAUUUGAGCCCAGCACAGCAACAUUAAGAAGCUAACCAAUGCAACCGGGGAAGGAUAAUGGGUCCUGGACUCCCGUCUUGCCGUGAUGGAUCUGCUCCAGAAUCUAUCGAGACAAGGCGAUCGUGCCCAGGCUUAAUGACUGCGCCAAGGAUUAUGAAUUGCACGCCGCUUGAAGAAACAAAAGGCAAUUAAACACGGCAAUUAACAUGCGUCGGAUUGCAAAAACGAUUGAAUUUACCCUAUUACGGAGGCAAACAAGGACACUUAGCACCGCAGAAAAGCAAAUUAGAUGUACUAGGUUGCAAGGGCAUGGGCAAACUUGGGCCCUCCGGGUGUUUUGGACUGCAACUCCCACAAUUCCUAACAGCCGGUAGGCUGUUAGGAAUUGUGGGAGUUGCAGUCCAAAACACCCGGA
This is a long non-coding RNA of Anolis carolinensis (green anole), 1740 nucleotides long. RefSeq lists it as uncharacterized. The record is from RefSeq and is a predicted model, not a curated record. The transcript has 2 exons. NCBI's taxonomy places the organism in Eukaryota, Metazoa, Chordata, Lepidosauria, Squamata, Anolidae.